GAUGAACGCUGGCGGCGUGCCUAAUACAUGCGAGUCGAGCGAACGGACGAGAAGCUUGCUUUUCUGAUGUUAGCGGUGGACGGGUGAGUAACACGUGGAUAACCUACCUAUAAGACUGGGAUAACUUCGGGAAACCGGAGCUAAUACCGGAUAAUAUUUUGAACCGCAUGGUUCAAAAGUGAAAGACGGUCUUGCUGUCACUUAUAGAUGGAUCCGCGCUGCAUUAGCUAGUUGGUAAGGUAACGGCUUACCAAGGCAACGAUGCAUAGCCGACCUGAGAGGGUGAUCGGCCACACUGGAACUGAGACACGGUCCAGACUCCUACGGGAGGCAGCAGUAGGGAAUCUUCCGCAAUGGGCGAAAGCCUGACGGAGCAACGCCGCGUGAGUGAUGAAGGUCUUCGGAUCGUAAAACUCUGUUAUUAGGGAAGAACAUAUGUGUAAGUAACUGUGCACAUCUUGACGGUACCUAAUCAGAAAGCCACGGCUAACUACGUG
This 497-nucleotide ribosomal RNA is filed under the name uncultured bacterium. RNAcentral describes it as "partial 16S ribosomal RNA". It matches the Rfam family "Bacterial small subunit ribosomal RNA", at positions 28 to 507 of the family's 1533-position model. The record is from RNAcentral.